UAAGCGGAGGAAAAGAAACUAACAAGGAUUCCCCUAGUAACGGCGAGUGAAGUGGGAAAAGCUCAACUUUGAAAUCUGGUACUUUCAGUAUCCGAAUUGUAGUCUCAAGAAGUGUUUUCUGUGCCGGUCCAUGUAUGAGUCUGUUGGAACACAGCGUCAUAGAGGGUGACAACCCCGUUCAUGACAUGGAUCCCGGUGCUUUGUGAUACACUCUCGAAGAGUCGAGUUGUUUGGGAAUGCAGCUCAAAUUGGGUGGUAAAUUCCAUCUAAAGCUAAAUAUUGGCGAGAGACCGAUAGCAAACAAGUACCGUGAGGGAAAGAUGAAAAGCACUUUGGAAAGAGAGUUAACAGUACGUGAAAUUGUUGAAAGGGAAACGAUUGAAGUCAGACGUGCGUGAUGCGGUUCAGCUUUAGUUCGCUAGAGUGUACUCCGUAUCUUUGCAGGCCAACAUCGGUUUUGUUAGUCGGAUAAAGGUUUGAGAAAUGUGGCACCUUCGGGUGUGUUAUAGUCUCAGACUGAAUACGAUUGAUGGGACCGAGGAACGCAGCGCGCCGCAAGG
This 560-nucleotide ribosomal RNA is filed under the name Cystobasidium laryngis. RNAcentral's name for it is "partial large subunit ribosomal RNA". It matches the Rfam family "Eukaryotic large subunit ribosomal RNA", at positions 47 to 610 of the family's 3401-position model. Lineage: Eukaryota; Fungi; Basidiomycota; Cystobasidiomycetes; Cystobasidiales; Cystobasidiaceae. The record is from RNAcentral.